UGGGGAAUAUUGCACAAUGGGCGCAAGCCUGAUGCAGCCAUGCCGCGUGUGUGAAGAAGGCCUUCGGGUUGUAAAGUACUUUCAGCGGGGAGGAAGGGAGUAAAGUUAAUACCUUUGCUCAUUGACGUUACCCGCAGAAGAAGCACCGGCUAACUCCGUGCCAGCAGCCGCGGUAAUACGGAGGGUGCAAGCGUUAAUCGGAAUUACUGGGCGUAAAGCGCACGCAGGCGGUUUGUUAAGUCAGAUGUGAAAUCCCCGGGCUCAACCCGGGAACUGCAUCUGAUACUGGCAAGCUUGAGUCUCGUAGAGGGGGGUAGAAUUCCAGGUGUAGCGGUGAAAUGCGUAGAGAUCUGGAGGAAUACCGGUGGCGAAGGCGGCCCCCUGGACGAAGACUGACGCUCAGGUGCGAAAGCGUGGGGAGCAAACAGG
RNAcentral lists this ribosomal RNA (429 nucleotides) under Chloroflexota bacterium. Its description in RNAcentral is "Chloroflexi bacterium partial 16S ribosomal RNA". It matches the Rfam family "Bacterial small subunit ribosomal RNA", at positions 355 to 776 of the family's 1533-position model. Lineage: Bacteria; Bacillati; Chloroflexota. The record is from RNAcentral.